UACAGGGGGGGCAAGCGUUGUUCGGAAUUACUGGGCGUAAAGGGUCUGUAGGUGGCUUGCUAAGUCAGACGUGAAAUCCCUCAGCUUAACUGGGGAACUGCGUCUGAUACUGGCAAGCUUGAGUGCAGGAGAGGAACGCGGAAUUCCAGGUGUAGCGGUGAAAUGCGUAGAUAUCUGGAGGAACACCGGUGGCGAAGGCGGCAUCCUGGACCGAUAUUGACGCUGAUGCGCGAAAGCCAGGGGAGCAAACGGG
Molecule: ribosomal RNA, 253 nt
Filed under: uncultured bacterium
Lineage: Bacteria
Description: partial 16S ribosomal RNA
Rfam family: Bacterial small subunit ribosomal RNA
Source: RNAcentral